RNAcentral lists this ribosomal RNA (280 nucleotides) under uncultured bacterium. RNAcentral describes it as "partial 16S ribosomal RNA". It matches the Rfam family "Bacterial small subunit ribosomal RNA", at positions 45 to 339 of the family's 1533-position model. The record is from RNAcentral.
UAUGCUUUAUACAUGCAAGUCGAACGAACCCCCAACUUCGGUUGGUAAGGUUAGUGGCAGACGGGUGAGUAAUACGUGGGAAUCUACCUAAAAGUACGGAAUAGCCAUUGGAAACGAUGAUUAAUGCCGUAUACGCCCUCCGGGGGAAAGAUUUAUCGCUUUUAGAUGAGCCCACGCCAGAUUAGCUAGUUGGUAGGGUAAUGGCCUACCAAGGCAACGAUCUGUAGCUGGUUCGAGAGGAUGAUCAGCCACACUGGAACUGAGACACGGUCCAGACUCC